GGAGAGUGAGGCUGUUUAUUGUGUAUGAAUUCACAUUGUAUCAACAACUCCACGUAAUAUUAAAACACUGCGAGAAAGUGGGUGCGGCACACCUGGAAUUUUAAAAAAGUCAGAAAUAAAAACAACCAGACAUCCCAAUGCAGAUGGCAUAGAACCUGCUAGAACCACAGGUGGCGGCUGGAAACAGGAGACAGGUCUUUACAAAGAUUAGAUCGGCAACGGUUCCGUGGACAGAGGAGGCGCGGUUGGCCAUGGCUUCUGUGCAGAGGGCCCGAGGAUGUUUAAUAAGUGACCCCUUGAGGAAGGGCGUGGUGGCUCCACCUCCCCCCAGAAGCCCCUCCCGGGUCACUCACGCAUGGGCAGGUGUGUGAUGGCCCCUCCUACCUGCCCCAGAGCUUGGGCAGGAUAGGGCCUGUUAACUUGGAGAUGGAUGCGUGGCCUGGAGGCCUAGCGUUGCACCCCGGACACGGUGGCCAGCCCGUCAAAGGGACCACGCAGAGAGAGAGAAAGUGGAGCACCUUCCGCCCCGGCCCAGCCGCCCUGUUUAUGUCCCCAGAGGCCAGAGGUCACAGCUGAGCUGUCUGUGCUUGGCCUGGGGUUACCCCUGGGGAGGGUGGGAGAAGGGUGCGUGUUCUGGCUCCUUGCUGGAGAGAGGACAGGGUAGGCGGAGCUAGUCCGGGAAGGUGCCCAGGUGGGUCACGACAGGGUCGGGGCCUGGCCCGCUGUGGCCCUUCACCCGGCAACUGGUUUCUCGCUCAGGACCAGGGAAGAGACCCAGGCGGCAGAAGGAGAAACGGCCUUCUUGCUCCCACCCGACGCUGCCUUGUGUGUGUGUGCGCGUGGGUGGGGGUGAGUGUCCUUAACUCUCUUUUUCCCCUGACGUGGCUGAGAGACGCUGGUGUCCCCAAGGCUAGAGCUGCUGCUGCCACCCCCGCCCGCCAGCCCCGCAUCUGGAGGUGCACGCACGCUCCUGGAAAUGCCCAUAAAACACGCGUUCACCCCAGGGAUUCCCGGCAGAAAAGCACGUGCGGCGGUGGGUGUGUGUGCUCCUCUGCAAAAGUAUUUUCCACACUGUGGUCACUGAGGUUUACUCUACAAGAAAAAAAGGGGAGAAUUUUUUUUUUAAUCCCCCAAGCUAGAAAAUCCACAGGCUUCUGGCAAUGGCCACCUCCCUGGGGUCCGGGAGAUGGUGGGGUCCGGAUAGCUCAGGGAACCCAAGGCUCUAUGGACAGUGAAGGAGAGGCCAGCCUGUCCUUCCCCUCCCUGAGCCUCAGUUUACCUAGAACGCUUGGACCCCAGGCUCUCUGACUUCUGUGCAGGGUCCCGUCUGUGGGGCGGGAGGACGUGGCUUUAGGGGCCUUUGGAGCUGAGAGUCCCUGGAAGCCGGGAUUGAACCCCACCAUCUCCACCAGCCUAGGAGGCCCGGCUGCCUGGGCUGUGUCUCUGCAGCGGCCUCCGUUCCCCGCUGGCAUUUCUGGGGUCACAUCGUUAGGACACACCAGUGGGGCCGGGCUUGGCACAGCUGUGCCCCCUCCUCCCUCUGCCCUGGCAGCGGGGGCUCGGGGAUUAAGGCCUCUUUUAAGGAAAAACGGGCUGCGGUGCGUUUGUUCCCAGUUACCAAGAUGGCUCGCUGGGAAGGGUGGGGGCAGGCGGGGUCUCCCUGCCUGGGGUCCUCCCAGGGUUUCUGGAACAGACUUUUGUCUCUUCCCACCAUUCCUGCUAUGGGUGGUGGGGAUGCCCACACCCCAAGCCUCGCCUGCUCCCGGCCCAACCACGGGAGGCUGCAGUCUCUGGGGAGCCUCUGGGGCUCUCCUGGGCCAACAGCAGGUUUGGCGGGGAGGGCUCCCCAAAGCCCCAGCCCUCCCGGACCGGCCGUAGAGAGCUGGGUGCCGGGGGUGGGGAGCCCAGCUGUUGCCUGUGGGAGCCGCCCGAGGUUGAGGAGUGAAGGUCACUCUCCCUGCACCGGCAACACGCAGAACCCUCUAGCCUUGUGAGGUGGGAACCCCGGCAGUCGCCCCAGGAAGGGAGCUGAGCAGGGAUCACCGCCCCAUGGGCCUGCACAGAGGACCUGGGCAGCCGUCUAGGAACCCUCUCGGCACGGGUCCUUAGAUGCCCAUUUCCACUGGGACUGGAGGGACAGGGCUGGGCUAGUUUUUUUCUUUUUUCUACUACUUGCUUCUGGGUCAGCCCCAUGGAGGGGAGUCGGGGCGGCCAGGCCUCCUGCGAUCAGGGCUGUGUGGGGUCCCGGCGGCUCAGGGUCCGGCUCAGGGUCCAGCUCAGGUGUGGCCCCCAGUGACGCCAGCAGGCCUGGGAGGAUGUGGCUGCACCUGCUCCCGUCUGUGCCGCAGAGGAGGACACAGUCGUCUUUCAGAAACCUCCCCCCGACCUCAUGGCAUCUUCGAUUUCCACGUGCCGCUGGGAGGAGCGACCCGUUCUGCGCCUAACGCAUCUCCCGGCCUCAGGCAGCCGUCCCGGGUUGCACGGGGUGGAAAAGUGAAAAGAUUGGGUUCGAGCGACAGGGCAACGUUUUGAGCGGACGUUUCGAUCUCCCGGACAACGUCUCACCUCCUGGCGUCCUUCAAAGUCACUUCAAGAUCAUGGAACAACUUUGUAUACACGGCAGCACACGGCAGCCCCACCCGCCCCGCCGCGGCUCCUCGGCCUGCAUUUCUGUUUGAGAAAUGUCUACGGUGGAUGUCAGAGGGUAGAACAAGCCAGAAGAACCAAGGACGGUCAAAGCCUCUCCCGUCCACACAGAUGCCUGGUGCUGAAAACACGCCGGGCGCGGUGGCUCACGCCUGUAAUCCCAGCACUUUGGGAGGCCGAGGCGGGGGAAUCACGAGGUCAGGAGUUCGAGACCACCCUGGCCAAUAUGGUGAAACCCCAUCUCUACUAAAAAUACAAAAAUUAGCUGGGCGUGGUGGCGCACGCCUGUAAUCUCAGCUACUCAGGAGGCUGAGGCAGGAGAAUCGCUUGAACUGGGGAGGCGGAGGUUGCGGUGAGCCGAGAUCGUGCCACUGCACUCCAGCCUGGGUAACCAGAGCGAAACUCCAUCUCAAAAAAAAAAAAAAAAAAAAAAAA
RNAcentral lists this long non-coding RNA (3081 nucleotides) under Macaca fascicularis (crab-eating macaque). Its description in RNAcentral is "lncRNA (ENSMFAG00000063836.1)". The record is from RNAcentral. Lineage: Eukaryota; Metazoa; Chordata; Mammalia; Primates; Cercopithecidae.